GAUGAACGCUAGCGGCAGGCCUAAUACAUGCAAGUCGAACGGUGUCUUCGGACAUAGUGGCGCACGGGUGCGUAACACGUAUGCAACCUACCUUACAUUGGGGGAUAGCCUUUCGAAAGGGAGAUUAAUACCGCAUAAGACAGUAGCUGGGCAUCCAGCAGCUGUUAAAGAUUUAUCGAUGUAAGCUGGGCAUGCGUCCAAUUAGCUAGUUGGUGAGGUAACGGCUCACCAAGGCUAUGAUUGGUAGGGGAACUGAGAGGUCAAUCCCCCACACUGGCACUGAGAUACGGGCCAGACUCCUACGGGAGGCAGCAGUAGGGAAUAUUGGGCAAUGGACGCAAGUCUGACCCAGCCAUGCCGCGUGCAGGAUGAAGGCGUUAUGCGUUGUAAACUGCUUUUAUACAGGAAGAAACGACUCUUGCGAGAGGCAUUGACGGUACUGUAUGAAU
RNAcentral lists this ribosomal RNA (449 nucleotides) under uncultured Flexibacteraceae bacterium. RNAcentral describes it as "bacterial SSU rRNA". It matches the Rfam family "Bacterial small subunit ribosomal RNA", at positions 28 to 487 of the family's 1533-position model. The record is from RNAcentral. Lineage: Bacteria; Pseudomonadati; Bacteroidota; Cytophagia; Cytophagales; Cytophagaceae.